This 206-nucleotide ribosomal RNA is filed under the name uncultured bacterium. RNAcentral describes it as "partial 16S ribosomal RNA". It matches the Rfam family "Bacterial small subunit ribosomal RNA", at positions 568 to 774 of the family's 1533-position model. The record is from RNAcentral.
UGCGUAGGCGGCGGCACAAGUCAGGUGUGAAAUCCCCCGGCUCAACCGGGGAACAGCGCUUGAAACUAGGUCGCUCGAGUGAGGUAGGGUGUAUGGAACUUCCGGUGGAGCGGUGAAAUGUGUAGAUAUCGGAAGGAACGCCGGCGGCGAAAGCGGUACACUGGGCCUUGUCUGACGCUGAGGCACGAAAGCUAGGGAAGUGAACG